Molecule: unclassified non-coding RNA, 223 nt
Filed under: Bacillus sp. (in: firmicutes)
Lineage: Bacteria; Bacillati; Bacillota; Bacilli; Caryophanales; Bacillaceae
Description: Bacillus sp. (in: Bacteria) contains 16S-23S intergenic spacer region
Source: RNAcentral
UCCGGUUUGUCACCGGCAGUCACCUUAGAGUGCCCAACUGAAUGCUGGCAACUAAGAUCAAGGGUUGCGCUCGUUGCGGGACUUAACCCAACAUCUCACGACGCGAGCUGACGACAACCAUGCACCACCUGUCACUCUGCCCCCGAAGGGGACGUCCUAUCUCUAGGAUUGUCAGAGGAUGUCAAGACCUGGUAAGGUGGGGAUGACGUGUGAGAGUACGUCC